Molecule: ribosomal RNA, 461 nt
Filed under: uncultured bacterium
Lineage: Bacteria
Description: bacterial SSU rRNA
Rfam family: Bacterial small subunit ribosomal RNA
Source: RNAcentral
AGUGGGGAAUAUUGCACAAUGGAGGNAACUCUGAUGCAGCAACGCCGCGUGGAGGAUGACACAUUUCGGUGCGUAAACUCCUUUUAUAUAAGAAGAUAAUGACGGUAUUAUAUGAAUAAGCUCCGGCUAACUCCGUGCCAGCAGCCGCGGUAAUACGGGGGGAGCAAGCGUUACUCGGAAUCACUGGGCGUAAAGAGCAUGUAGGCUGAUAGAUAAGUUGGAAGUGAAAUCCUGUGGCUUAACCAUAGAACUGCUUCCAAAACUGUCUAUCUAGAGUAUGGGAGAGGUAGAUGGAAUUUCUGGUGUAGGGGUAAAAUCCGUAGAGAUCAGAAGGAAUACCGAUUGCGAAGGCGAUCUACUGGAACAUUACUGACGCUCAGAUGCGAAAGCGUGGGGAGCAAACAGGAUUAGAUACCCUGGUAGUCCACGCCCUAAACGAUGCACACUAGUUGUUGCUAUAC